CGAAAUUUUUUUGAGACACAUUUGUCGAACAUCAAAUUCGAAAGCCAGCAGAUCGGUGGAUGGAUCGCAAGAAUGUACAACUCAAGCUCACAAGCCUCACUCCAGAACACGAGCCUCCAUCUACAAGUUCCGCCUGACCAACAUGAUCCAGGUCCCAGAAUGCUGCUUGAGGUCAUAUCCCUAGUCCUGGUCAUCACAACGUUAUUUUGCUGCUACUGUUGCGUCAGAUGAAUGGAUCUAAGCGAUCCGCUCAAUGAAGAAAAAUCUCCGAGAGAAAUGUGUUUUACCCAAUCCUACUUUUUGAUAUCCGUUAGGAAAGAUAGGAAAGAUAUUAGUCUUCAUUUUUCGAAUGGACCUUUUUUUAUGUAAACUUCAAGCCAAUAGUUACAAAUUGCAUAAAUAAGCACGUUACU
This is a non-coding RNA of Drosophila melanogaster (fruit fly), 413 nucleotides long. Lineage: Eukaryota; Metazoa; Arthropoda; Insecta; Diptera; Drosophilidae. The record is from Ensembl.